UCGAUGAAGAACGCAGCGAAAUGCGAUAAGUAAUGUGAAUUGCAGAAUUCAGUGAAUCAUCGAAUCUUUGAACGCACCUUGCGCCCCUUGGCUAUUCCGAGGGGCAUGCCUGUUUGAGUAUCAUGAACACCUCAACUCUUGUGGUUCGCCAUGAAGAGCUUGGACUUGGGGGCUUGCUGGCGCACAGCCGGCUCCUCUCAAAUGAAUUAGCCUGCCAGUGUUUGGUGGCGUCACGGGUGUGAUAACUAUUUACGCUUGUGGUUGCCUGCCAGGUAACCUUCGGUGACGGAGGUUCGCUGGAGCUUAUAAACGUCUUUCCUUGGUGAAGACAGCUUUUUGAACGUUCGAUCUCAAAUCAGGUAGGACUACCCGCUGAACUUAA
RNAcentral lists this ribosomal RNA (382 nucleotides) under uncultured Tomentella. RNAcentral describes it as "eukaryotic LSU rRNA". The stretch from base 1 to 123 matches the Rfam family "5.8S ribosomal RNA", at positions 33 to 154 of the family's 154-position model. The record is from RNAcentral. Lineage: Eukaryota; Fungi; Basidiomycota; Agaricomycetes; Thelephorales; Thelephoraceae.